AUGUCCACAGAACAGAUAUCACCAGCGGGGUCUACAACAGUUUUUCUAGAGCUUCCAUCUGGUCAAGGUGCAGUCAUUAAGGGCAACAGUUUCCCAGAAAUGCAGUUAACUCUGUAUUGGUGUUUGAAGAGUUUUGGCUUUCACCAAAAUACCUCAAAUGCAGAAGUAAAUACAUCUAGAGGAGUUAGAGUUUCAAAUCACAAUGUGGAAAGAGGGAAGAGGAGGAAGAAUCGUUCUAUGUCAGAGGAGACCUCUAUCAUUAUUCUAGCUCUGCUGACAACACAGAAUGCAC
RNAcentral lists this long non-coding RNA (292 nucleotides) under Anas platyrhynchos platyrhynchos (common mallard). Its description in RNAcentral is "lncRNA (ENSAPLG00000022148.1)". The record is from RNAcentral. Lineage: Eukaryota; Metazoa; Chordata; Aves; Anseriformes; Anatidae.